This 549-nucleotide ribosomal RNA is filed under the name uncultured bacterium. RNAcentral's name for it is "bacterial SSU rRNA". It matches the Rfam family "Bacterial small subunit ribosomal RNA", at positions 356 to 896 of the family's 1533-position model. The record is from RNAcentral.
AGGGAAUCUUCGGCAAUGGGGGCAACCCUGACCGAGCAACGCCGCGUGAGUGAAGAAGGUUUUCGGAUCGUAAAGCUCUGUUGUAAGAGAAGAACGAGUGUGAGAGUGGAAAGUUCACACUGUGACGGUAACUUACCAGAAAGGGACGGCUAACUACGUGCCAGCAGCCGCGGUAAUACGUAGGUCCCGAGCGUUAUCCGGAUUUAUUGGGCGUAAAGCGAGCGCAGGCGGUUAGAUAAGUCUGAAGUUAAAGGCUGUGGCUUAACCAUAGUACGCUUUGGAAACUGUUUAACUUGAGUGCAGAAGGGGAGAGUGGAAUUCCAUGUGUAGCGGUGAAAUGCGUAGAUAUAUGGAGGAACACCGGUGGCGAAAGCGGCUCUCUGGUCUGUAACUGACGCUGAGGCUCGAAAGCGUGGGGAGCAAACAGGAUUAGAUACCCUGGUAGUCCACGCCGUAAACGAUGAGUGCUAGGUGUUGGGUCCUUUCCGGGAUUCAGUGCCGCAGCUAACGCAUUAAGCACUCCGCCUGGGGAGUACGACCGCAAGGUUG